This 382-nucleotide long non-coding RNA is filed under the name Vigna radiata. RNAcentral's name for it is "long non-coding RNA (VRAD_LNC015943)". Lineage: Eukaryota; Viridiplantae; Streptophyta; Magnoliopsida; Fabales; Fabaceae. The record is from RNAcentral.
GGGGAGAAAAGUGUACGAUUAAAUCAAAUUAUAAUUUUAAUGUUUUUACAGGUUUUAAGGUGCUAAAAAAAAUUUAAUAAAUUUAGUCUAAAAUUGUUUAUUUUUGUUAUAGAAGAAAUUAAAAUGGGAGAGAAAUAUAAAUUUGUGGGGUUAGUGGAGCUGAAAAGCAACUUUUGAAAUAGAAGGGGAUGAGGAGUUGAACAGUUAUUUUCCUGGGAAAGUUAUGCAGAAGAUGUGAAAAGUGAAUUUAUUCUAUUGUUGAACGUGUGAGAGCACAACAACCCUUAGACAGGUAUAUCCAAAUUAUCCAAUACUCUUUUUAUUCAUCCAUUCACCUUAUAUGGCCCAUCUACCUUUAAAUCAUGCCCUCGCAUUAAUUGGG